GAUGAAGAACGUAGCGAAAUGCGAUACUUGGUGUGAAUUGCAGAAUCCCGUGAACCAUCGAGUUUUUGAACGCAAGUUGCGCCCGAAGCCGUUAGGCCGAGGGCACGCCUGCCUGGGUGUCACACAUCGUUGCCCCAAUGCCAAUCGCCUCACUUUGUAGGUAUUUGCUUGGGGUGAAUGUUGGCCUCCCGUGUACUUUGUCUCACGGUUGGUUGAAAUCGAGUGCAUGGUGUCGGGUGUACCAUGAUGGAUGGUGGUUGAGUGAUGAUGCUCGAGACCAAUCAUGGGUAACUCCACCAGAAUUGGGCUCGGUGACCCACAUGCGUCCCUUGGAUGCUCCCUAAGGAGACCUCAGGUCAGGCGGGGCUACCCGCUGAGUUUAAGCAUAUCAAUAAGCGGAGGA
RNAcentral lists this unclassified non-coding RNA (403 nucleotides) under soil metagenome. RNAcentral describes it as "partial contains 5.8S ribosomal RNA, internal transcribed spacer 2, and large subunit ribosomal RNA". The stretch from base 1 to 122 matches the Rfam family "5.8S ribosomal RNA", at positions 35 to 154 of the family's 154-position model. The record is from RNAcentral.